AGUAGCUCAGUUGGUUAGAGCGCGCGCUUGAUAAGCGUGAGGUCGGAGGUUCAGGGAGGCGAACCCGGCGAACUG
This 75-nucleotide transfer RNA is filed under the name Azospirillum brasilense. RNAcentral's name for it is "tRNA-Ile". Lineage: Bacteria; Pseudomonadati; Pseudomonadota; Alphaproteobacteria; Rhodospirillales; Azospirillaceae. The record is from RNAcentral.